This 498-nucleotide ribosomal RNA is filed under the name uncultured bacterium. RNAcentral's name for it is "partial 16S ribosomal RNA". It matches the Rfam family "Bacterial small subunit ribosomal RNA", at positions 28 to 523 of the family's 1533-position model. The record is from RNAcentral.
GAUGAACGCUAGCGGCAGGCCUAAUACAUGCAAGUCGGACGGGAUUGAGGAGCUUGCAUCUCAUGAGAGUGGCGCACGGGUGCGUAACACGUAUGUAACCUACCUUAGUCAGGGGGAUAGCCUCUCGAAAGAGAGAUUAACACCGCAUAACAUUAUGAUAUGGCAUCAUAUAAUAAUCAAAUAUUUAUAGGACUAAGAUGGGCAUGGGGAACAUUAGCUAGUUGGUAAAGUAACGGCUUACCAAGGCUACGAUGUUUAGGGGAUCUGAGAGGAUGACCCCCCACACUGGUACUGAGACACGGACCAGACUCCUACGGGAGGCAGCAGUAAGGAAUAUUGGGCAAUGGACGCAAGUCUGAACCAGCCAUGACGCGUGCAGGAAGACGGCCCUACGGGUUGUAAACUGCUUUUGUACCGGAAUAAACCUUUGUGUGUAUACGAAGCUGAAUGUACGGUAAGAAUAAGGAUCGGCUAACUCCGUGCCAGCCGCCGCAGUAA